GGGUGCGAGCGGGACUGCAAUCUGCAUCGGAUGGUGUCGAGGUUGCAGCGUCGUAGCCCCCUGAACAGUUCACCGAAUUGUUGUUUAUCUUUAUUGAAUGAACGGGAAUUGUCCACUUUAAACUACUUUGCAAUACAGUAAAAGACUUGGUCACAAUCAAAGCAUUUAGGAAAAUUGAAGAAAAGACAAAGGGCGCAAAUGGAACUGGAGCAACUACGGACGGAGCACGGAUAUAUUCGCUAAGCUAGUUAGCAAGCCAACUAGCCUGCUGCUAACUUGAUACAUUGGAACACGAGUAACAAUCAACUGGCUAUGACUGAUAACGAGGAAAGGACAGUCAAAUUAUAAUCUAGAAUGAAUUAUUGAGAGUCAAAUCAAAUGUUUUAGCUACGCAUUUUUUGUUACGAAAGUAUUUGCAUGGAAUGGAUGCGUUCUGUAGAAUUGCUCAACAACAAUAGUUAGCCGGCUAGCUAGCUACGGUUACUUGCAUGUUGAGUUGGGAAGCUAUCCCGUUAGCCAAAUAACGUUACGUCAUCUGUACAGUAGUUAAUAACUAGACGGUCAGGCAACUACAAUAAGGUGGAUGGACUGUCAUCUGCGUGGGGGUGUUCGUGAAGUUAACGUUAACUGGGUAGCCUAUUCCUCCUUCAGAUGUUUUGACACAGUUUAGUAUUACACGUGACAGAAGUGAACAUGGUAGUGUUAUAUGACAAUGGAUAUAGUUAGCUACCCGUUUGUUAGUACCGUAGGGAAGAAGUGACAACCGAUAUCUCAGGUACAGUUUAACGUUGGACCACAAUGCAUUAGGUCUGACGUUCUGCUUUAAAGACACAGGAAUCUCUUUGGUUUUGCUGGACAGCAUACUAACAAUAACUUUAUGACGCGGGCUCAGUCCAUUAUUUCAUUUUUGACUGACCACACAGAUCACAGUUUCCCUAAAGCGUCCACAGCCCUCAUACCAUGGCAGCGGUUGUCAACUACUCACCGCCGUGGUGGGUCAACCUGCUACACCGACUCCCUCAUUUCAACCUUCAAUUCGAACAGACGAGCAGCGAUUUUCGCCCGGAGGACUCGUCAUAUCAACAGUCCAUCCUGCUGCUGGGAGGCGUGGCUCUAGCUUGCCUGGCCCUGGACCUGCUCUUCCUGCUCUUCUACUCCUUCUGGCUGUGCUGCCGGCGGAAGAAGAGCGAGGAGCAGCCCAACGCCGACUGCUGCUGCACCGCCUGGUGUGUCAUCAUCGCCACGCUCGUCUGCAGCGCUGGCAUUGCUGUUGGUUUCUAUGGGAACGGCGAGACCUGUGACGGCGUGAACAGGCUGACGUACUCCUUGCGCCACGCCAACCGCACUGUGGCAGGAGUGCAGAAACUGGUAUCAGACGGCACGGGCUCCCUGAAGCAGACAGUGGAUGGCAGUCUGGGGCAGCUGGAGGGCCAGUAUGCCAAGCACACAGACUAUCUCUCUAUCAUCCAGAAGCUGCAGGGCCAGCUGGACGAGCUGGUGAGGCAGAUGGUGGAGAUCCCCUUCUGGGGAAACAGAGACAUCUCCCUGGAGGAGCUGGCCGUCAACAUCGAGCUCUACGACUGGUACAGGUGGCUGGGCUACUUAGGCCUGCUGCUUUUCAACAUCCUCAUCUGCCUGCUGGUGCUGUUUGGCCUCAUUCGCAACUCCAAGGGAACACUUAUUGGAGUGUGUCUUCUGGGCAUCCUGGCUCUGGUUAUUAGCUGGGCCUCCCUGGGCCUGGAGUUGGCUGUGUCUGCCACCUCCAGUGACUUCUGCGUUGCUCCAGACAUGUUCGUCACCCAAAUGACCGAACAGUAUGGAGUGCUCAAUAAAGACAUUUUGCAGUACUACAUGACAUGCAGUGUGGGCCAAACCAACCCAUUCCAACAGAAGUUGUCCGGGAGCCACAAAGCCUUAGUGGAGAUGCAGGACGACGUGUCUGAGCUGCUCCGCUCGGCCACCAGAGAGUACCCCCAAACUAAGGGGAAUCUAGAACAGAUCCAGGGGGUGCUGAACACCACAGAGAUCGGCCUGCAUCAGCUCACUGCCCUGGUGGACUGUCGAAGCCUGCACAUGGACUAUGUCCAGGCUAUAACAGGGUUGUGUUAUGAUGGACUGGAGGGCCUGAUCUACCUGGUGUUCUUCUCCUUCGUCACGGCUCUCAUGUUCAGCUCCAUCGUCUGCAGCCUACCUCACACCUGGAACAACAAGAGGAAUGAGGCGGACAGCGAGGAGGAGUCCAUGGCCCACGGAGGCAGACUGCAGAACCAUGACAACCUGUACCGCGUCCACAUGCCCAGCCUGUACAGCUGUGGCAGCAGCUACGGCAGCGAGACCAGCAUCCCUGCUGCAGCACACACCGUCAGCAACGCCCCGUCACAGAGUACAUGACCCAGAAUGCCAGUGCCUUCCAGAACCCGCGGUGUGAGAACACCCCACUGAUAGAGAGAGAGUCCCCUCCUCCCUCGUACACCUCCAGCAUGAGGGCCAAGUACCUGGCCAACAGCGGACCGGGUCCCAGUACCUCCACCCCCGUUCCUCCACAGCACCAAGAACACGACUCUGCACACCACUCACGACAGCACACUCCACACCGCCCACCACAUCACCCAGCGGCACAGCUCUAGACAACAACGGGGGCGUGACCCACCAACAGACACACCAGUGUGGAACCACCUCGCCUCUAGAACUUCUUCUCCAAUGCCCCUCAACAUCUCUGUGAUGUCAUCGCCAUCCUCAUCCAGGCUACAGUCCCCAUCUCCUUUCCUCUUCACUCUUACUAGCCCUCUCCCCCAGCAACAACUUCAAACAUCUGAGCCAAAUAUGUCUUUUGAAGUGUGCUUGAUGGCAGAGCAAAGAAAGAACGCGCAAGGCAGACGCAUCAUGUAAAUAGUUCUGUCGUCAUUACAAUGUUUUCCGUAGGCCCUUUCAUGAUGUUUCCAGAUGGCCCGUCUGGGCUGGUCCACAGCAGAGCAGAUAGCCAGUGCAGGGUGAGGGCCAGUGGGAGGUUAUUUCCAGCAUCGUGGGAUCGCUGUCAUCUGCUUCAUGGGCUGCUAGUGGACUGACUGAGUUGGUGGCCCUUGUUCCCCUGCUACCACAGCCUCGCCUCAGUGCUGGGCCAUCCUCGUGGCCCAGGGACAAUACAGACUAAUGAGGCAACUGGCCUCCAGCUCUUCAUAAACGAUCUCUGCUCCUUUUCCUCCUCCUCUGCUCAGCCCACCAAAUAUCAUCUUGAACGGAGUGAUAAUGUCUUAUGUGAGGAUAUGUUGCUCAAACAGCAUAUUUUGGUCUUACUUGUCUGCCACUUUUUCCCUGUAUUUGAUAUUGUAUGAAGGAGAUAUCCACAAUCAAAUGGUCUCCGUGUUAACCACUGCAAAAACCACUGGUUAUGGUGCUGUGAAGGAGAGAACACCUGAUGAGAUAAUGAAACUAAACUGCCAUUGCUUUGGUGAGGACUGAGACAGUUAUGGGAAUAUCUAGCACUGAUAACUAUUGAUAGUGAUUUUGUUCAAUAUGUUGCUAUGUACUGUACUAUCUCUCUCAUUGCUGGAGGAGAUGUUGAGCAAUACCUUACACAGAGAGCUGUGGAAAGGCCUAGAAACUGCUGUUCCCUCACACCCUUUUACAGAACUAGACCUCUGUCAUGGCAAGUUGGGAUCCAUGCACGGUUCCUCCAAAGGUUGGAUGUACCUCCACAAUACUAUGGCCAUGAUAUGUCUGAAAGACAAACACCAGUGUUUCUCAAGCAUUCCGUGUGAGUGUUCUUCAUAAUAGUGGAACAUCUCAGUUCCUCAUGUAAUCCUGUUAUCUGGAGGACUUGCAACACGACCAGUAGAACACCGGAUCGAGGAAAGGGCAUUAACAUCAGUGGUAUUAUCGCGUCUCUCAAUCCAUGUGUCUGACGAGAUCACAUUGACAUAUCAUUACUACUGUCUAACAAGCUGAGAGACUACUGAUUACUCAUCUAUGUAGCCAUCAGCUUGUUAUUGCAUUUGUCUGUACAAACAGACUGUGAGUGGGACCAGUUAUCUUAUUUCACCAUGUCUUAUAGCAGUAGGUCUAUGACUGGAAAAGACUGGGAUCUCUUAACUCUUACAUUAGUCCUGACCUGCAUGUUUGUGGCUGUUGUCCCCCCCCCUCCCCCAGGGGGAGUGAUACAGUAUGCCACUAUUCCUGGAAAAUGACUGAAGCUACAUGGAUUUUGAACUGGAGAGUUUUGCUGUGAAAACGAGUUUAUUUUCGAUUCCGGCGUCUGCUUUCGGAUGAUGUGAACUGAAAAGACGGAUGAAGCUCACUGAAGACGAGGAGCUGUGAACGGUGGGACCCGCUGUCUUCUCAUCAAUACCACAGACUGCUGUUAUCAGAACUGUAAUUCUCAUUACAUUGAAGAGUUUUGGUCAAUUGAGGAUAUGCUCAACAAAAUGUUCACACUUCUAUGGGAAGGUUUUGUUCUCAAACGGAAGACUAUUCAGACGACAGACAGAUAUGAGGACUGGUUCCAGGUUGCUGAGAGACUAAACAAAAGAGGAGUUUUCCUCCACCAUUAUAAGACUCAUUUAAUAGAUCAUUUGCAGUGCUCUUCUGUUAGCCAGGUAUCUUGUGCUGGUGUUGGUGUUCGUCUGCGUACAGUGGUCGGUGUGUUUGCUUGCCAGUCUCCUGUCCUCCCAACAGAUCUCUGACCGCCUCGCACAGUUCUCCUCUGCUGAACCCUAUGGAUAUAGUCCGAGUUACAUCCAGUGUCUGGAGGCUGUGUACAUGAAUUAGUAUGUAUUUCUUCUAAAGAGGGGUAGAAUACAUGUAUUCUAGUGUACAAUUAUGCAUGUUACAACAGCCAAGAGAACUGGACAUCCUUAAUGCGCCAGCAUUUCAUUGUCACAAAGAUGUGUUUUGGCGUAAAGAACUAUUUUGGGGAGAAAAAAAUGAAACUGCAGGAGUUGUUUCACAAUGGGUAAAUUGAAGAAAUGCUGUAGUGACACGGGUUCAUUUGUACCAUUUACCUUUUCAGCAAGAGCAUCCUACAUCUCUGUGGACUCCUAAAGCAUGGUGCCCCUUCAAACGUAGAGUGAAAUAUUGUUGUACGUUGUUUCUACCGACGCUUCUCUUGGCGCCCCUUCGUUCUGCAUUGUAAUCAAUAUGAGAGGUGUGGUUCUUUCUUCAGUCUGUGCCAAUAACCAAACACAACACCUUACCUUUACUAGGAUCUUUUUAAAUGUCUCACGUAGGCCUGUUUGUACAGUUCACAGCACUUUGGUUGCCUGAGCAACCAAAUUAGGAAAAUGAGCCCUACAUUUUGAACUGAAAAUGUCUUGUUCUUUUAUUCUCUGUGUGAAAGACCAUUUGUUAUAGUAACGAUGCAUUUUUACCGUUUUAGAGUAGUCAUAUUAUCUUUGUUAAUAUUGUAAUGCUAGACCAAUGUACAGACUUUAAAGGGAUACUUCAGGGUUUUGGCUAUUAAGCCCUUUAUCUACUUCCCCAGCGUCUGAUGGUUUAAUAGACCACCGUCUCUGCAUCCAGUAUGAGGUAGAUCUGCGAGCCAAUGCUAACUAGCGAUAGCUGAAUGAGUGGAAGUGUGUGGUAUCUACUAGCAAAUGCGCUGACACUAGUUAGCAACUUCCUUCAAACUGCACACAGAGACAUAAAAAUGGUAUCCACGAGUUCACCUGACUCUGGAGAAGUAGAUAACGGGCCUUAAUUGACAAUAUCCCUUUAAAACAUGUUUGCUAAAUGAGCUGGUGAAGUUGACAUUUCCUUUGUCAUUGUGAUGAAAUCUCUUUUUGCUUCAUACAAAAAAAAGUAAUUUACCAUUGAUUCUUUUUAGUGUUCAUUGCAUAUAUUACGAUGUGUAGCAAGCAGAAAAUGUGUGUUUCUUUUAUGUGAAUACGAUAUAAUUUGUCUUUCAUUGCUUUGUUUUGAUAACAUUUCCCUGUAGAUUUACUCAUUUGUUUUUAUAUUAUUUUAAAGCAAUUACUAAAAUAUUGUACAUGUUAAACCUGUGGUUUUAUUGAGCUUGAACUAUUGAAAUUAAACCAACCUUAACUGUU
This is an RNA transcript of Oncorhynchus gorbuscha (pink salmon), 6041 nucleotides long. It is a transcript of the gene named protein tweety homolog 3-like, with no coding region annotated. The record is from RefSeq and is a predicted model, not a curated record. NCBI's taxonomy places the organism in Eukaryota, Metazoa, Chordata, Actinopteri, Salmoniformes, Salmonidae. The transcript has 14 exons.